GCCAAAUUUGUGGAAAUUUACAUAGCAAAUUGACCCUCCACAUUUCACUUAAACAUAUGUAGCACUCCGAGUAGUGCGUUUUGAGUUGCCAGUGAGACUGAGGUUAUUUUACACGCUUCUUUUAGUAAAAGAGGUCCAAUUAGACCAAGUAAUUUUUUAUUUCAUCCAUAAUUGCAAAACAAAUAAGCUUCUUGGCAUUUUUUUUCCUAGCGGCAGCAUCACACGGACAGGGGCGUUAAUAGGGAAGUCAUGUUUUCCUAAUUAAGCCCCGUUUGAUUCCUGCUCAGUGUUCCGGCGUCAGCCCUCUGCAGCUUUCUCCUAGCACUGAGGAUGUUGCUGAAUUAUAGAGGAGGAGACUGGCAUGGACAGUAGGGAAGAGUUAUGCAGAUGGGAUCCAAAGGGGCUGCUGCACUUUCAGCAAGGACUCAGCAGACGAUACAUAAUUAGGAGUUCUGCUGUGGGGGGAAUAAAGCACACCAUUAGAUUUGUUUAG
RNAcentral lists this long non-coding RNA (493 nucleotides) under Capra hircus (goat). RNAcentral's name for it is "lncRNA (ENSCHIG00000001973.1)". Lineage: Eukaryota; Metazoa; Chordata; Mammalia; Artiodactyla; Bovidae. The record is from RNAcentral.